This 545-nucleotide ribosomal RNA is filed under the name uncultured Glomeromycotina. RNAcentral's name for it is "SSU rRNA". It matches the Rfam family "Eukaryotic small subunit ribosomal RNA", at positions 548 to 1098 of the family's 1831-position model. Lineage: Eukaryota; Fungi; Glomeromycota. The record is from RNAcentral.
UUGGAGGGCAAGUCUGGUGCCAGCAGCCGCGGUAAUUCCAGCUCCAAUAGCGUAUAUUAAAGUUGUUGCAGUUAAAAAGCUCGUAGUUGAAUUUCGGGGUUCUACCGUUGGUCGGGCUUUGUCUGUACUGGUGUGUAGAAUUUCUACCUUCUGGGGAACCAUCAUGCUAUUAAUUUAGCGUGGUGGGAAACCAGGACCUUUACCUUGAAAAAAUUAGUGUGUUCAAAGCAGGCUUAUGUCUGAAUACAUUAGCGUGGAAUAAUAGAAUAGGACGGUGGUCCUGUUUUGUUGGUUUCUGAAUCACCGUAAUGAUUAAUAGGGGUAGUUGGGGGCAUUAGUAUUCAAUUGUCAGAGGUGAAAUUCUUGGAUUUAUUGAAGACUAACUUCUGCGAAAGCAUCUGCCAAGGAUGUUUUCAUUAAUCAAGAACGAAAGUUAGGGGAUCGAAGACGAUCAGAUACCGUCGUAGUCUUAACCAUAAACUAUGCCGACUAGGGAUCGGAUGAUGUUAAUUUUUUAAUGACUCAUUCGGCGCCUUACGGGAAAC